GUUUUUGCGCAUGGGGCAAUGACGCAGUUAGUGAGGUGAAACCCAGACGUGUCAAUUGUUGGUUAAGACUAUUUACAAAUGAACAUUUAAAAUUAAUUGUAUGACUUAUAUGUU
Molecule: small nuclear RNA, 114 nt
Filed under: Marchantia polymorpha subsp. ruderalis
Lineage: Eukaryota; Viridiplantae; Streptophyta; Marchantiopsida; Marchantiales; Marchantiaceae
Description: U4 spliceosomal RNA
Rfam family: U4 spliceosomal RNA
About the family: U4 small nuclear RNA (U4 snRNA) is a component of the major U2-dependent spliceosome. The structure of U4 snRNA from yeast and human has been reported.
Source: Rfam by way of RNAcentral